Molecule: ribosomal RNA, 519 nt
Filed under: uncultured bacterium
Lineage: Bacteria
Description: bacterial SSU rRNA
Rfam family: Bacterial small subunit ribosomal RNA
Source: RNAcentral
UGGGGAAUCUUGCGCAAUGGGCGAAAGCCUGACGCAGCGACGCCGCGUGAGGGAUGACGGCCUUCGGGUUGUAAACCUCUUUCAGCCCUGACGAAGCGAAAGUGACGGUAGGGGCAGAAGAAGCACCGGCCAACUACGUGCCAGCAGCCGCGGUAAUACGUAGGGUGCAAGCGUUGUCCGGAAUUAUUGGGCGUAAAGAGCUCGUAGGCGGUCUGUCGCGUCGGGCUGUGAAAACUCGGGGCUCAACUCCGAGCUUGCAGUCGAUACGGGCAGGCUAGAGUUCGGCAGGGGAGACUGGAAUUCCUGGUGUAGCGGUGAAAUGCGCAGAUAUCAGGAGGAACACCGGUGGCGAAGGCGGGUCUCUGGGCCGAUACUGACGCUGAGGAGCGAAAGCGUGGGGAGCGAACAGGAUUAGAUACCCUGGUAGUCCACGCCGUAAACGUUGGGCGCUAGGUGUGGGAUCCCUUCCACGGGUUCCGUGCCGCAGCUAACGCAUUAAGCGCCCCGCCUGGGGAGUAC